UUAGCCCUAAACCUUAGUAGUUAAAACAACAAAACUACUCGCCAGAAUACUACAAGCAACAGCUUGAAACUCAAAGGACUUGGCGGUGCUUCAUACCCCCUAGAGGAGCCUGUCCCAUAAUCGAUAAACCCCGUUCCACCCUACCCUCUCUUGCUCAGCCUAUAUACCGCCAUCUUCAGCAAACCCUGACAAAGGCCACAAAGUGAGCGCAAAUGCCCCUCCUCGCAAAAACGUUAGGUCAAGGUGUAGCCCAUGAAAUGGUAAAAGAUGGGCUACAUUUUCUACCCCAGAAAAAUCCACGAUAACUCCUAUGAAACCUAGGAGUCCAAGGAGGAUUUAGCAGUAA
Molecule: ribosomal RNA, 346 nt
Filed under: Cercopithecus neglectus (De Brazza's monkey)
Lineage: Eukaryota; Metazoa; Chordata; Mammalia; Primates; Cercopithecidae
Description: partial small subunit ribosomal RNA
Source: RNAcentral